Molecule: ribosomal RNA, 433 nt
Filed under: uncultured bacterium
Lineage: Bacteria
Description: partial 16S ribosomal RNA
Rfam family: Bacterial small subunit ribosomal RNA
Source: RNAcentral
AACGAACGCUGGCGGCAGGCCUAACACAUGCAAGUCGAGCGGACCUUUCGGGGUCAGCGGCGGACGGGUGCGUAACGCGUGGGAAUAUGCCCUUCUCUACGGAAUAGUCCUGGGAAACUGGGGGUAAUACCGUAUACGCUCUUUGGGGGAAAGAUUUAUCGGGGAAGGAUUAGCCCGCGUUGGAUUAGGUAGUUGGUGGGGUAAUGGCCUACCAAGCCGACGAUCCAUAGCUGGUUUGAGAGGAUGAUCAGCCACACUGGGACUGAGACACGGCCCAGACUCCUACGGGAGGCAGCAGUGGGGAAUCUUAGACAAUGGGGGCAACCCUGAUCUAGCCAUGCCGCGUGAGUGAUGAAGGCCUUAGGGUUGUAAAGCUCUUUCAGCUGGGAAGAUAAUGACGGUACCAGCAGAAGAAGCCCCGGCUAACUCCGUG